UGCUGACGACCGGCGCACGGGUGCGUAACGCGUAUGCAACCUACCUUUAACUGGGACAUAGCCCCGAGAAAUCGGGAUUAAUAUCCCAUAAUAUCCAGAAAACGCAUGUUUUCUGGAUUAAAGUUCCGGCGGUUAAAGAUGGGCAUGCGUGGCAUUAGUUAGUUGGUGAGGUAACGGCUCACCAAGGCAAUGAUGCCUAGGGGUCCUGAGAGGGUUUUCCCCCACACUGGUACUGAGACACGGACCAGACUCCUACGGGAGGCAGCAGUAAGGAAUAUUGGGCAAUAGGCGCAAGCCUGACCCAGCCAUGCCGCGUGCAGGAUGACGGCCCUAUGGGUUGUAAACUGCUUUUGUAUGGGAAAAAACUCCCGCACGUGUGCGGGACUGAUUGUACCAUACGAAUAAGCAUCGGCUAACUCCGUGCCAGCAGCCGCGGUAAUACGGAGGAUGCAAGCGUUAUCCGGAUUCAUUGGGUUUAAAGGGUGCGCAGGCGGAUUAGUAAGUCAGUGGUGAAAGCUCCCGGCUCAACCGGGAAAAUGCCAUUGAUACUGUUAAUCUUGAGUACAGUUGAGGUAGGCGGAAUGUAUCAUGUAGCGCUGAAAUGCAUAGAUAUGAUACAGAACACCGAUAGCGAAGGCAGCUUACCAAACUGUAACUGACGCUCAUGCACGAAAGCGUGGGGAGCAAACAGGAUUAGAUACCCUGGUAGUCCACGCUGUAAACUAUGAUCACUCGCUGUUGGC
This 743-nucleotide ribosomal RNA is filed under the name uncultured organism. RNAcentral describes it as "bacterial SSU rRNA". It matches the Rfam family "Bacterial small subunit ribosomal RNA", at positions 86 to 827 of the family's 1533-position model. The record is from RNAcentral.